RNAcentral lists this long non-coding RNA (2522 nucleotides) under Gallus gallus (chicken). RNAcentral describes it as "lncRNA (ENSGALG00010006505.1)". Lineage: Eukaryota; Metazoa; Chordata; Aves; Galliformes; Phasianidae. The record is from RNAcentral.
AAAUUUUCAAGCCACAGGUAUGCCUUAAUUCUACUUAGUACUUAGCAUAAACAUGAAAGUAUACUUUAUCUUCUGCAAAUACAUAAUAUUAUGCAUGCAAAUUGAUUCUUAGUGAAUAAAGCUAGUGAUUUCUUUGGAUCUACCAAAUGAUCAAAAGUUACUUGCACAAGUAAGUGUGUAUACAGAAUCAAAUUCUUAUUAAAAACUAUCUGGACACAUUGCUCUUUCCUCAUGAAUUUUCUUCAGAUAUAACAGUAUAGAUUUGUUAUCGUUUUAGCAUUUAAUUACUUGCAUUAAUUUUCUUAAAACUCAAAUUUCAUCUCUCUCUUUAGAAAGUGAGAGCCAAAGAGAGACUUGCAUACUCUCAUGGUUUGAAUCGAACAAUAUUUUAUUUUAAAGGAUUAUCAUUAUUGUAAAAAUUUGGUCUAGAGCCCAUUUCUCUAAGGAUUAGCCUGUCCAAAGUUUCUAGCAUGUUUAAGUUAUAUUUGAAUAUAAUGAAUGACUGUCAUGAAGGAUGGCUACAAUCAGCAGCUGUGCCUAUGUGCUCUGCAUUGCUAUAGGCUGAAUCUUGUAAUAGCUCGACAACUUCACUUCCUGUUGAUUUCACUAGGACCCAAGGUGCUUAAAAGAAAAGCUGACAAGAUAAUGACAAUUCCACUUUAUGCGGCUUCCAAGUUUUAACAUUUGUUUUGAUUUCACGCUGAAUUGUCUGUUUCUGUACUGAAAAAAAUGAACCUGAGAGCCUAUGCCCAAGUAACUCAUAGACUCGGCUCUCCUUCAGCUGAAUGUUCCAGGCAGUGUGAGCACAAGUGUGCACCACCAUCACCUUGCCUGCUUGGGCAACAGAUGGGUUCACACUCCAGUGUGUCCCACUGAGAACAUAUCUGCACUCUUAAUGCAAUUUCUGGAAUUUCUGGAAGAAGUAAUUUCUGAAGUUAAUUUAAAGAUGUGUAGGAGAAUUGCAGCCCCCUCCCCCCCUCUCCACUCCUUCAUGCUUCCUGAUGAAGCCAAGUAUUCAGACUUGCCUUUGCUUGCUGUACAGAGCUAUCUGUGUGUGCCCAGCAAGCCUGAUGCACCCUGACAUACCACACAUGUGCUGGCCAUCUGUACAGUGCACAGGCAGGAGGUUCAGUGAGAUGCGUAUUUCUGCCUGUGAUAUUCUGGACAAAGAAAUGGGAGCCAUGUCCAUUUGCACUUACAUCAUGCUAACUUGGAAUGACCACACACUUGGUCAGUGCACCAGAGCUGUGGGUCUCCUCACUCAUUAUGAGCUGUGGGGUUUUCUCCUUUCAUCUCUAGUUACUCUGUUUGUGCCUGUACUGAUCUCUGUUUGACUCACCUUUCAGAGUCCAGACAGGCUGAGGAAGUGGUUACCCUUUGCAACUGCAAUCAUGUGAAAGUUCUCUGAGCAGAGCCUCUCACAUACUCAAUUAUCCCUUCAGUGAAGUGAUUUGCACUGCUGUGGGCGGGUAGACCCGAACUCCCAGUGCACCACACUCAUUUAUCAGGUGAAAUGAGGCAAAGAAAGCAAGGUCAGAGAGUGUCCAUGCUGCUUACAAGCUGCAGAACCCUCAGGGCUGUCAUUGCCCAGAUUACUUAAAAUCUCAUUCCCUUCCCACUGUAUGAUUCCCCUUAUCAGCAGCUGCUCUCCACUCACUAGUGAGAGGAAGCAUAUUCGUUUAUGUUACCCUGUCCAAGAGCGCAAUGGGCACUGAAGACAAAAGCUACAACAGUGCUAUCCAUGCUAGUGAAAUAGGCUUCCUUCAGUCUUGGAGAGUCUGCUGAGAGAUGCUCAUCCUCCUGACAGGUUUUGGACACUACUUGAAAAAUUGACUACACCCGAACAAAGAGUGAUCACUGCACAGGCCUCAUCUGAGAGAUUUCCCCCAUUUUCUCUGCUUUCCCAAGUCAGAAAAAUGCCAUUUCAAAGUGGUCUCUGAGAACGGUUUUCAGAAGGAAAUCUGAAAUGCAAGCAUAUGAAAAUGGCAAAGGUGAAACUGGAUGUUAAAUGAAUACCUGAGUGGGAGGACAGAAUCAAUGGAAUAAUGGAGAAUAAUGAAAAAACCUAAGAACUACUUCUUUUGGACAGAACAAGAGAAGCACAAGAGUUCUCUGACCCAGUGGACCAUAAGAGCUAAACACCUAUGAUAGAUACGGGAAGGAGAGACCAAGAAAUGCAGUUAUCUACUUCUAAGGCCAUUAUUGCUCUGGGUGCACUUUGAAGGAUUUCUGAAGGAUCUGCCCUUCUCUACUGAAGACAGUCAGAAUGGCUUCAUAAAGCCAGGCUUGGGCACUGUGGUAUGAAUAUUAAAGAAUGCAUUAGUUUCUUUUCAUAUCUCUUGAAUAAUUUCACAACAAGUAACAGUAGCAUUGUCCUCCUGGUGAAAUAGGUGAAAAUCUACACCAAAUUGAACUAAUUCAGGGCUACCUAAUCCCCAGCAACAAUGCUAGAAACCACGCUGUUCUUUGCUCAUUACUUUGAGCCAUUUUUCCCAUUAAACUUCUCCUUUUUAAUAAAGGGC